CCAGUUCUCAGGCGAGAGCCGCGGCUGACAGGGUCUGGGACAGAAGGAAAGCCCUCCAGCCUCCAGGCCCUGCCUUCUGCCUGCACAUUCUGCCCUGAUUUCCGGAACCUGGAAGCCUAGGCAGGCAGUGGGGAACUCUGACUCGCCUGUGCUCUGGAGCUUGAUCCGAAAGCUUCCACAGUGAGGACUGCUCCGUGGGGGUAAGAGAGCACCAGGCACUGAGGCCUGGGAGUUCCACAGACCAACACCCCUGCUCCUGGCGGCUCCCACCCGGGACUUAGACCCUCAGGUCCCUAAUAUCCCGGAGGUGCUCUCAAUCAGAAAGGUCCUGCUCCGCUUCGCAGUGGAAUGGAACGGAUUUAGAAGCCUGCAGUAGGGGAGUGGGGAGUGGAGAGAGGGAGCCCAGAGUUACAGACGGCGGCGAGAGGAAGGAGGGGCGUCUUUAUUUUUUUAAGGCCCCAAAGAGUCUGAUGUUUACAAGACCAGAAAUGCCACGGCCGCGUCCUGGCAGAGAAAAGGCUGAAAUGGAGGACCGGCGCCUUCCUUAUAAGUAUGCACAUUGGCGAGAGAAGUGCUGCAACCUAAACCAGCAAUUACACCCAAGCUCGUUGGGGCCUAAGCCAGUACCGACCUGGUAGAAAAAGCAACCACGAAGCUAGAGAGAGAGCCAGAGGAGGGAAGAGAGCGCCAGACGAAGGUGAAAGCGAACCACGCAGAGAAAUGCAGGCAAGGGAGCAAGGCGGCAGUUCCCGGAACAAACGUGGCAGAGGGCAAGACGGGCACUCACAGACAGAGGUUUAUGUAUUUUUAUUUUUUAAAAUCUGAUUUGGUGUUCCAUGAGGAAAAGGGAAAAUCUAGGGAACGGGAGUACAGAGAGAAUAAUCCGGGUCCUAGCUCGCCACAUGAACGCCCAGAGAACGCUGGAAAAACCUGAGCGGGUGCCGGGGCAGCACCCGGCUCGGGUCAGCCACUGCCCCACACCGGGCCCACCAAGCCCCGCCCCUCGCGGCCACCGGGGCUUCCUUGCUCUUCUUAUCAUCUCCAUCUUUAUGAUGAGGCUUGUUAACAAGACCAGAGAGCUGGCCAAGCACCUCUAUCUCAGCCGCGCCCGCUCAGCCGAGCAGCGGUCGGUGGGGGGACUGGGAGGCGCUAAUUAAUUGAUUCCUUUGGACUGUAAAAUAUGGCGGCGUCUACACGGAACCCAUGGACUCAUAAACAAUAUAUCUGUUGGGCGUGAGUGCACUGUCUCUCAAAUAAUUUUUCCAUAGGCAAAUGUCAGAGGGUUCUGGAUUUUUAGUUGCUAAGGAAAGAUCCAAAUGGGACCAAUUUUAGGAGGCCCAAACAGAGUCCGUUCAGUGUCAGAAAAUGCUUCCCCAAAGGGGUUGGGAGUGUGUUUUGUUGGAAAAAAGCUUGGGUUAUAGGAAAGCCUUUCCCUGCUACUUGUGUAGACCCAGCCCAAUUUAAGAAUUACAAGGAAGCGAAGGGGUUGUGUAGGCCGGAAGCCUCUCUGUCCCGGCUGGAUGCAGGGGACUUGAGCUGCUCCGGAAUUUGAGAGGAACAUAGAAGCAAAGGUCCAGCCUUUGCUUCGUGCUGAUUCCUAGACUUAAGAUUCAAAAACAAAUUUUUAAAAGUGAAACCAGCCCUAGCCUUUGGAAGCUCUUGAAGGUUCAGCACCCACCCAGGAAUCCACCUGCCUGUUACACGCCUCUCCAAGACACAGUGGCACCGCUUUUCUAACUGGCAGCACAGAGCAACUCUAUAAUAUGCUUAUAUUAGGUCUAGAAGAAUGCAUCUUGAGACACAUGGGUAACCUAAUUAUAUAAUGCUUGUUCCAUACAGGAGUGAUUAUGCAGUGGGACCCUGCUGCAAACGGGACUUUGCACUCUAAAUAUAGACCCCAGCUUGGGACAAAAGUUGCAGUAGAAAAAUAGACAUAGGAGAACACUUAAAUAAGUGAUGCAUGUAGACACAGAAGGGGUAUUUAAAAGACAGAAAUAAUAGAAGUACAGAAGAACAGAAAAAAAAUCAGCAGAUGGAGAUUACCAUUCCCAAUGCCUGAACUUCCUCCUGCUAUUAAGAUUGCUAGAGAAUUGUGUCUUAAACAGUUCAUGAACCCAGAAGAAUGCAAUUUCAAUGUAUUUAGUACACACACAGUAUGUAUAUAAACACAACUCACAGAAUAUAUUUUCCAUACAUUGGGUAGGUAUGCACUUUGUGUAUAUAUAAUAAUGUAUUUUCCAUGCAGUUUUAAAAUGUAGAUAUAUUAAUAUCUGGAUGCAUUUUCUGUGCACUGGUUUUAUAUGCCUUAUGGAGUAUAUACUCACAUGUAGCUAAAUAGACUCAGGACUGCACAUUCCUUGUGUAGGUUGUGUGUGUGUGGUGGUUUUAUGCAUAAAUAAAGUUUUACAUGUGGUGAAUAUA
Homo sapiens (human) is the source of this 2421-nucleotide long non-coding RNA. Ensembl annotates it as HOX transcript antisense RNA. Its record names the gene HOTAIR. The record is from Ensembl. NCBI's taxonomy places the organism in Eukaryota, Metazoa, Chordata, Mammalia, Primates, Hominidae.